CCGCGAGAGGGAUGAUGUACUACUAUAGGGCUCUUGAGAUGCUUUCAUAUCUAGACGACGCUUCAGAGAUGGACAUAAGG
Non-coding RNA from Eucalyptus grandis, 80 nucleotides. The record is from Rfam. Lineage: Eukaryota; Viridiplantae; Streptophyta; Magnoliopsida; Myrtales; Myrtaceae.